RNAcentral lists this transfer RNA (76 nucleotides) under Bacillus cereus. Its description in RNAcentral is "tRNA-Asn". It matches the Rfam family "tRNA". Rfam says of the family: Transfer RNA (tRNA) molecules are approximately 80 nucleotides in length. Their secondary structure includes four short double-helical elements and three loops (D, anti-codon, and T loops). Lineage: Bacteria; Bacillati; Bacillota; Bacilli; Caryophanales; Bacillaceae. RNAcentral also lists the same sequence under 2 other names. The record is from RNAcentral.
GUUCUUGUAGCUCAGUUGGUAGAGCGAGCGGCUGUUAACCGCUGUGUCGUAGGUUCAAGUCCUACCUAGAACGCCA